RNAcentral lists this small RNA (101 nucleotides) under Clostridium cavendishii DSM 21758. RNAcentral describes it as "Clostridioides difficile sRNA included into helicase gene". It matches the Rfam family "Clostridioides difficile sRNA included into helicase gene". Rfam says of the family: This element was identified by RNA deep sequencing of Clostridioides difficile 630 where it is located within gene CD0749 (putative DNA helicase, UvrD/REP type) in the same direction as the gene. A strong transcription start site for this RNA was experimentally confirmed, in the 3' region of gene CD0749. The 3' end of the sRNA has not been confirmed and its length was arbitrarily set to 100nt. The record is from Rfam by way of RNAcentral. Lineage: Bacteria; Bacillati; Bacillota; Clostridia; Eubacteriales; Clostridiaceae.
UCUUCUUUUGAAAAAGAUUCAGAAAUGCAAGAAUCAAGAAGACUUUGUUAUGUUGGUAUAACAAGAGCUAGGGAAAAACUUUAUAUGACAUCAUCAGAAAU